UGCGUAGGCGGUCGGGUAAGUCUGAUGUGAAAUCUCCGAGCUUAACUCGGAAAUGGCAUUGGAUACUAUUCGGCUAGAGAGUUGGAGGGGGGACUGGAAUACUUGGUGUAGCAGUGAAAUGCGUAGAUAUCAAGUGGAACACCAGUGGCGAAGGCGAGUCCCUGGACAACUUCUGACGCUGAGGCACGAAAGCUGGGAGCAAACA
This 205-nucleotide ribosomal RNA is filed under the name uncultured bacterium. RNAcentral's name for it is "partial 16S ribosomal RNA". It matches the Rfam family "Bacterial small subunit ribosomal RNA", at positions 568 to 774 of the family's 1533-position model. The record is from RNAcentral.